CGCCGCUUCCUCCCCGCUCCGGCCGAGCCCGGUGCCCUCCGUGGCCGGGCGGGCGCUCCGGUCCGGCUGCGCCGCGGGACGGGCCCGAGGGACGGCGGAGCGAGUCCCUGGACAGGAAGCUGCAGCGGCCGCUCCUGGGCAAGUCGCGGACGCUGCCCAGCAUCCCGCAGUCCCCGGUGCUGAGCCGGCUGCCCCUGCUCGAGCCCGCCGCCUACCGGGACGAGAUGCCGGAGCAGAAGCCCUUCCAGAAGCACUCGGCCUCCGAGCACCAGAAAGGCUGCACGGUGCCUUCUGCCGGGGAGGCCUGGCGGCUGGAGGAUGACUGCUCGGAGCCGCCCAGGGCCCCCCAGCUGGGCACGGCUGUGGAGGACGCCCCGUUCAGCUACUUCCGCACGCGCUCCUUCUACAUGAGGAAGAGCCUGUCCGUGGACAACCACCUGGGCUCGCUGAGCUACGCCGUGCACCCGGCCGAGAGCAAGGCCGAGCGCGUCAGGACCAAGCUGCGGCGGCAGUUCUUUGAGCCUUGGUCCCUUCUCCUCCCACUGCCAACUCUCUUCCCAGCCCUGGGUCCUGAGCCAGCUCCCGGUGAUGCUGCCCCAUGGACGGGGAGAGCCCUGCCUGGAGGAGGAGAUGGAGACUCCAGGGGGACAUGGGAGGGUGGGGUGGUCUCCAAGAGACCCUCAGCCCAGUGUGGAACCUCUCUGAGCAGAGCUGCCCAGGUGUGAAGUAUCCUUCUGCUGGCACAAUAAAUUGCAUUUCCAGUCCUCUUUGGGGGCCUGU
RNAcentral lists this long non-coding RNA (780 nucleotides) under Junco hyemalis (dark-eyed junco). RNAcentral's name for it is "lncRNA (ENSJHYG00000000126.1)". The record is from RNAcentral. Lineage: Eukaryota; Metazoa; Chordata; Aves; Passeriformes; Passerellidae.